RNAcentral lists this ribosomal RNA (1463 nucleotides) under Enterobacter cloacae. RNAcentral's name for it is "bacterial SSU rRNA". It matches the Rfam family "Bacterial small subunit ribosomal RNA". The record is from RNAcentral. Lineage: Bacteria; Pseudomonadati; Pseudomonadota; Gammaproteobacteria; Enterobacterales; Enterobacteriaceae.
CGACGUCGUUCUACCAUGCAAGUCGAACGGUAGCACAGAGAGCUUGCUCUCGGGUGACGAGUGGCGGACGGGUGAGUAAUGUCUGGGAAACUGCCUGAUGGAGGGGGAUAACUACUGGAAACGGUAGCUAAUACCGCAUAACGUCGCAAGACCAAAGAGGGGGACCUUCGGGCCUCUUGCCAUCAGAUGUGCCCAGAUGGGAUUAGCUAGUAGGUGGGGUAACGGCUCACCUAGGCGACGAUCCCUAGCUGGUCUGAGAGGAUGACCAGCCACACUGGAACUGAGACACGGUCCAGACUCCUACGGGAGGCAGCAGUGGGGAAUAUUGCACAAUGGGCGCAAGCCUGAUGCAGCCAUGCCGCGUGUAUGAAGAAGGCCUUCGGGUUGUAAAGUACUUUCAGCGGGGAGGAAGGUGUUGUGGUUAAUAACCGCAGCAAUUGACGUUACCCGCAGAAGAAGCACCGGCUAACUCCGUGCCAGCAGCCGCGGUAAUACGGAGGGUGCAAGCGUUAAUCGGAAUUACUGGGCGUAAAGCGCACGCAGGCGGUCUGUCAAGUCGGAUGUGAAAUCCCCGGGCUCAACCUGGGAACUGCAUUCGAAACUGGCAGGCUAGAGUCUUGUAGAGGGGGGGUAGAAUUCCAGGUGUAGCGGUGAAAUGCGUAGAGAUCUGGAGGAAUACCGGUGGCGAAGGCGGCCCCCUGGACAAAGACUGACGCUCAGGUGCGAAAGCGUGGGGAGCAAACAGGAUUAGAUACCCUGGUAGUCCACGCCGUAAACGAUGUCGAUUUGGAGGUUGUGCCCUUGAGGCGUGGCUUCCGGAGCUAACGCGUUAAAUCGACCGCCUUGGGGAGUACGGCCGCAAGGUUAAAAACCAAAUGAAUUGACGGGGGCCCGCACAAGCGGUGGAGCAUGUGGUUUAAUUCGAUGCAACGCGAAGAACCUUACCUGGUCUUGACAUCCACAGAACUUUCCAGAGAUGGAUUGGUGCCUUCGGGAACUGUGAGACAGGUGCUGCAUGGCUGUCGUCAGCUCGUGUUGUGAAAUGUUGGGUUAAGUCCCGCAACGAGCGCAACCCUUAUCCUUUGUUGCCAGCGGUUAGGCCGGGAACUCAAAGGAGACUGCCAGUGAUAAACUGGAGGAAGGUGGGGAUGACGUCAAGUCAUCAUGGCCCUUACGACCAGGGCUACACACGUGCUACAAUGGCGCAUACAAAGAGAAGCGACCUCGCGAGAGCAAGCGGACCUCAUAAAGUGCGUCGUAGUCCGGAUUGGAGUCUGCAACUCGACUCCAUGAAGUCGGAAUCGCUAGUAAUCGUAGAUCAGAAUGCUACGGUGAAUACGUUCCCGGGCCUUGUACACACCGCCCGUCACACCAUGGGAGUGGGUUGCAAAAGAAGUAGGUAGCUUAACCUUCGGGAGGGCGCUUACCACUUUAUGACUGGGGGAAGUCGAUCAAGACCACCG